GUGCUCGAGUGGCGAACGGGUGAGUAACACGUGAGUAACCUGCCCUUGACUUUGGGAUAACUUCAGGAAACUGGGGCUAAUACCGGAUAGGAGCUCCUGCUGCAUGGUGGGGGUUGGAAAGUUUCGGCGGUUGGGGAUGGACUCGCGGCUUAUCAGCUUGUUGGUGGGGUAGUGGCUUACCAAGGCUUUGACGGGUAGCCGGCCUGAGAAGGUGACCGGCCACAUUGGGACUGAGAUACGGCCCGG
RNAcentral lists this ribosomal RNA (246 nucleotides) under uncultured Actinomycetales bacterium. RNAcentral's name for it is "partial 16S ribosomal RNA". It matches the Rfam family "Bacterial small subunit ribosomal RNA", at positions 87 to 334 of the family's 1533-position model. The record is from RNAcentral. Lineage: Bacteria; Bacillati; Actinomycetota; Actinomycetes; Actinomycetales.